UGGGGAAUCUUGCACAAUGGGCGAAAGCCUGAUGCAGCGACGCCGCGUGAGGGAUGACGGCCUUCGGGUUGUAAACCUCUUUCAGUAGGGAAGAAGCCUUCGGGUGACGGUACCUGCAGAAGAAGCGCCGGCUAACUACGUGCCAGCAGCCGCGGUAAUACGUAGGGCGCAAGCGUUGUCCGGAAUUAUUGGGCGUAAAGAGCUCGUAGGCGGUUUGUCGCGUCUGGUGUGAAAACUCAAGGCUCAACCUUGAGCUUGCAUCGGGUACGGGCAGACUAGAGUGUGGUAGGGGAGACUGGAAUUCCUGGUGUAGCGGUGGAAUGCGCAGAUAUCAGGAGGAACACCGAUGGCGAAGGCAGGUCUCUGGGCCACUACUGACGCUGAGGAGCGAAAGCAUGGGUAGCGAACAGG
This 411-nucleotide ribosomal RNA is filed under the name uncultured bacterium. RNAcentral's name for it is "bacterial SSU rRNA". It matches the Rfam family "Bacterial small subunit ribosomal RNA", at positions 355 to 776 of the family's 1533-position model. The record is from RNAcentral.